UGUUACUUCCUUAAAACCAAGGCCACGUUUAAUGAUGCUUGGUUUAUGCAAAGAAAAAGACAUUGAAGUUGUUUUUCCUACUCUAAACUUUUAACCUUUCACGAUCUCCUAAGCUGCCUCACUUCUUAUAUUAUCACCAAAGUGCUCUUCCCCUUCCCAAGAAGGCAAUCUUACUGUGUGUGCCAUGCCAACGCCAUGGACACAUUUGCACAUAAAGCUCUGAAUCUCUUGCAUUGUCCCAAUCGGAGCCCUCACCAGCAGAUUUGAGAUAGAGGGAACUUAUCCACAAUGCCUAAUUUUGUCACAUUCAUGCAAGUACUGUUUUUCAUUUCAUAUAAAACCUUGAUAAAUUCAUGCAGCUCUACUUAGGGCAUUUUGUCCUUUUAGGUUAUGUAGUUACAGGAUACAUCAAUGGCGUGAGAGUUUUGGUCUGUUUCACCACUACAGCAUGUACA
This 455-nucleotide small RNA is filed under the name Vigna angularis var. angularis. Its description in RNAcentral is "Non-protein coding transcript". The record is from RNAcentral. Lineage: Eukaryota; Viridiplantae; Streptophyta; Magnoliopsida; Fabales; Fabaceae.